This is a long non-coding RNA of Armigeres subalbatus, 590 nucleotides long. RefSeq lists it as uncharacterized. The record is from RefSeq and is a predicted model, not a curated record. The transcript has 3 exons. NCBI's taxonomy places the organism in Eukaryota, Metazoa, Arthropoda, Insecta, Diptera, Culicidae.
AUUUACAUAUUGUCCAUCCUGUGACAUAAGCUUUGCAAAUGUUCACUCUUGUAUUCAGUGUGUGAUGGUUCGGUGGUUAAAUUUUUGACUACGGAAGCGAAGGCACCGGUGUUUGCAAUAACUCGGCCGUUAUACCGAUAGAAGUGCAGGAUAACAUAAAAUAAGGCAGGGUGGAAUCGCUACGCUAUACUGGUCUGGAACACUAUCGGAUGGAUAGGCUACAUUUUUACCGGCAGGAAGGGCCGGAGCGGAGUGACUGGCCCAAAUAUUAUGGUCCUCAAGAGGUGUGCGAGAUGAUGCAGUGCUUCCACAAGGCAGUGAAAAAAUCGGUACGUCCUACUGGCCUGGAACCGAGCCUCAAAGCCGAGGAUGGAUAGCACCGGUCGGUGUGGAUAGGUUACAAUUUUGCCAGCCGGAACGACUGUGCCUAACAUUACGGUGCUCUGGAGAUGCGGAAAAGGACGCAGCGCUGCCGCAAGAUAUGUUUUUUAUUACAAACAAGCAGACGUAAGACAUAGUAAAAUAUGUUAUAGGCAUAAUUGAAAGCCAAUACAAUCGAUUGUCUUGAUUUAGGUUUAACUUAUUUUUAA